This 652-nucleotide ribosomal RNA is filed under the name uncultured bacterium. RNAcentral's name for it is "bacterial SSU rRNA". It matches the Rfam family "Bacterial small subunit ribosomal RNA", at positions 186 to 858 of the family's 1533-position model. The record is from RNAcentral.
GCAUGGCCCGCAAAGCAAAACUCCGGUGGUACGGGAUGGGCCCGCGUCUGAUUAGCUGGUUGGCGGGGUAACGGCCCACCAAGGCGACGAUCAGUAGCCGGCCUGAGAGGGCGGCCGGCCACAUUGGGACUGAGACACGGCCCAGACUCCUGCGGGAGGCAGCAGUGGGGAAUAUUGCACAAUGGGGGAAACCCUGAUGCAGCGACGCCGCGUGGGCGAGGAAGUACCUCGGUAUGUAAAGCCCUAUCAGCAGGGAAGAAACAGGACAGUACCUGACUAAGAAGCCCCGGCUAACUACGUGCCAGCAGCCGCGGUAAUACGUAGGGGGCAAGCGUUAUCCGGAUUCACUGGGCGUAAAGGGAGCGCAGGCGGCAUGGCAAGUCUGAUGUGAAAACCCGGGGCCCAACCCCGGGAGUGCAUUGGAAACUGCCAGGCUGGAGUGUCGGAGGGGUAAGCGGAAUUCCUAGUGUAGCGGUGAAAUGCGUAGAUAUUAGGAGGAACACCAGUGGCGAAGGCGGCUUACUGGACGACUACUGACGCUGAGGCUCGAAAGCGUGGGGAGCAAACAGGAUUAGAUACCCUGGUAGCCCACGCCGUAAACGAUGAAUACCAGGUGUCGGCGGGCACGGCCCGCCGGUGCCGCAGCAAACGC